RNAcentral lists this ribosomal RNA (533 nucleotides) under uncultured bacterium. RNAcentral's name for it is "partial 16S ribosomal RNA". It matches the Rfam family "Bacterial small subunit ribosomal RNA", at positions 33 to 541 of the family's 1533-position model. The record is from RNAcentral.
AGUGAACGCUGGCGGUAGGCCUAACACAUGCAAGUCGAACGGCAGCACAGUAAGAGCUUGCUCUUACGGGUGGCGAGUGGCGGACGGGUGAGGAAUACAUCGGAAUCUACUUUUUCGUGGGGGAUAACGUAGGGAAACUUACGCUAAUACCGCAUACGACCUACGGGUGAAAGCAGGGGAUCUUCGGACCUUGCGCGAUUGAAUGAGCCGAUGUCGGAUUAGCUAGUUGGCGGGGUAAAGGCCCACCAAGGCGACGAUCCGUAGCGGGUCUGAGAGGAUGAACACACACGCUGGAACUGAUGCUAGUUCUGGCGCCAGCGGGAAGCAGGCCAGAGGUAAGACUGCCCAAUUGCCGCAAGCCUGAGCCAGCAUUGCCGCGUGGGGGAGCACGCCCUUCGGUUUGUACACCCCUUUUGUGGACAAAGAAAAGAACCUGGUCCUUCCCCCGCUGUCCCGACGGAACCCAAAGAAUCCGCACCGACUACCCUCGUCCCAGCAGCCGCAAAAAUAACCGAAAGAGCACACGUCUGAAC